CUUAUUUUGCCCACAGCUCAUGCAAAUAGGCAUACAUUGUGAGGCAAAUGAUACGCAAAAUGACAAGACAGAGAUAGGCGCCUGUUAUCUUGGAAAUAUUCCUUUCAGGACAAAGCAACUUACUCCGUUUAAGACAGCAGCAAGAACAGAUUUGCCUUUUCAAGCAAAAACUUCAGAAGGCAGGUGGAACUAAGCUAGUAGACCAAUUUCAAAGAAAUCAGUAUAUGGAGAGACUAGAAAUGGAUUCUAUGUUAAAAAUCAAGUUUUCAAACAAGAUGAAAUCUACAUAGUUUUACCAGUUGUGGAGGAAGGAGUCUGCCAGCUGCAAUGAACUGUAAUGUCAAGAAGAUACCAUCCCAAGAGCAUCAGUUACUGUAAACUACAUCAAGUGGCUGGGUAUUCUGAUCCAUUGCAAAAUUUCUGUUGACUUCACUAUGCCAAGGUUUUCAUCUGAGGUGUUUGUCAGUGC
This is a long non-coding RNA of Mauremys reevesii (Reeves's turtle), 469 nucleotides long. RefSeq lists it as uncharacterized. The transcript is spliced from 4 exons. The record is from RefSeq and is a predicted model, not a curated record. NCBI's taxonomy places the organism in Eukaryota, Metazoa, Chordata, Testudines, Geoemydidae.